This 253-nucleotide ribosomal RNA is filed under the name uncultured bacterium. Its description in RNAcentral is "partial 16S ribosomal RNA". It matches the Rfam family "Bacterial small subunit ribosomal RNA", at positions 524 to 776 of the family's 1533-position model. The record is from RNAcentral.
UACAGAGGGGGCAAGCGUUGUCCGGAUUCAUUGGGCGUAAAGAGCGUGUAGGCGGCCAGGUAGGUCGGUUGUGAAAACUGGAGGCUCAACCUUCAGAGGUCGACCGAAACCAUCUGGCUAGAGUCCGGGAGAGGAGAGUGGAAUUCCUGGUGUAGCGGUGAAAUGCGCAGAUAUCAGGAAGAACACCCGUGGCGAAAGCGGCUCUCUGGAACGGUACUGACGCUGAGACGCGAAAGCGUGGGGAGCGAACAGG